GAAGGCUCUGUCCAGCACAAGGCCUACUGCAAACCCAAGGAUCGAGUUGGGAAUUGACCAGACCGAAGUUCACAGGGAGCACAUCCUUCCAUGAUGACCAAUCUGCCCUCUUCCGGCUAAUGCAGUGGAAUUCUCAGGCCAUGCAGCUGGUUUUUUUUGGUGGGGGUGGAAAGAUGAAGAAUGGGAGCUGGAGUAGCUUGGAGAGAUCUCCAGGGUGGGAGCAGAAUGGCUGGUGCAGCAAAGCCUCAGUAAAGUUCUAGUCUAAGCCUAAAGGUUGACUCUGAACUGAUGGAUGCUCUCCUAGAAGAUGACUACCAAUUCACAGAUCAAUAUUCCUGUCUGUAUAUUGAAGCUCCAGUUUGUCCUGAGAAGAGAAUUCCACUCCCAAGCCCGCCUCUUUCACAUGGAGUACCGUAUGCCUCUUUUCCUCCCUUCUCUUCCUGCACACCACCUCCUGUUGCAGCAAUCUCUCCCUCUCUAAAGGAAGCUACAACCUAGCUUCCCACACUGGGCUCGAAUGAUGUGCUACGAAGUACUAACAUUUGCUUUCUGGCUUACUCAAUGCUUUAUAUGCACUUUGUAUUCUAAAUCUCAGAGCAUACCAUAUCCCGUAAGUGUGCUCUGAGAUUUAAAAUACCUUACCAAGAGAUAGGAGACUGUGAGCAUCCAAACACCAGAGCUCAGCACAAGCAGCUGAGCUCUAAUUUCCUUUAAAAGGAGCAGGAAGGGACACUAAAGAUUUUGGGAAAACUGAAAAAGGAUGAAGAAAAGCAAAGACGGUUUGAUGAAAAGAUGAAGGGCAAAUAUACUACUUCUUACCUUCAGAUACAGUUGUUUCUUAUUCUUGCCCAAUAGGAGAAAGUUAUUUUUUGAUC
Mauremys reevesii (Reeves's turtle) is the source of this 875-nucleotide long non-coding RNA. RefSeq lists it as uncharacterized. The transcript has 5 exons. The record is from RefSeq and is a predicted model, not a curated record. NCBI's taxonomy places the organism in Eukaryota, Metazoa, Chordata, Testudines, Geoemydidae.